CCCCUAGUAACUGCGAGUGAAGCGGGAAAAGCUCAAAUUUAAAAUCUGGCGGUCUUUGGCCGUCCGAGUUGUAGUCUGGAGAAGUGCUUUCCGCGCUGGACCGUGUACAAGUCUCUUGGAACAGAGCAUCAUAGAGGGUGAGAAUCCCGUCUUUGACACGGACUACCAGUGCUUUGUGAUGCGCUCUCAAAGAGUCGAGUUGUUUGGGAAUGCAGCUCAAAAUGGGUGGUAAAUUCCAUCUAAAGCUAAAUAUUGGCGAGAGACCGAUAGCGAACAAGUACCGUGAGGGAAAGAUGAAAAGCACUUUGGAAAGAGAGUUAAACAGUACGUGAAAUUGCUGAAAGGGAAACGCUUGAAGUCAGUCGCGUUGGCCAGGACUCAGCCUUGCUUUUUGGCUUGGUGCAUUUUCUGGUUGACGGGCCCAGCAUCGAUUUUGACUGUCGGAAAAAGGCUGGGGGAAUGUGGCACCUUUGGGUGUGUUAUAGCUCUCAGUCACAUACGGCAGUUGGGAUCGAGGACCGCAGCACGCCUUUAUGGCCGGGGUUCGCCCACGUUCGUGCUUAGGAUGCUGGCGUAAUGGCUUUAAACGACCCGUCUUGAAACACGGACCAAGGAGUCUAACAUGCCUGCGAGUGUUUGGGUGGAAAACCCGAGCGCGUAAUGAAAGUGAAAGUUGAGAUCCCUGUCAUGGGGAGCAUCGACGCCCGGACCUGAACUUCGGUGAUGGCUCUGCGGUAGAGCAUGUAUGUUGGGACCCGAAAGAUGGUGAACUAUGCCUGAAUAGGGUGAAGCCAGAGGAAACUCUGGUGGAGGCUCGUAGCGAUUCUGACGUGCAAAUCGAUCGUCAAAUUUGGGUAUAGGGGCGAAAGACUAAUCGAACCAUC
This 884-nucleotide ribosomal RNA is filed under the name Fomitopsis malicola. Its description in RNAcentral is "partial large subunit ribosomal RNA". It matches the Rfam family "Eukaryotic large subunit ribosomal RNA", at positions 77 to 944 of the family's 3401-position model. The record is from RNAcentral. Lineage: Eukaryota; Fungi; Basidiomycota; Agaricomycetes; Polyporales; Fomitopsidaceae.